UUUUGACGCGACAAUAUCGAGCAAAAAUUUCCAACAAGUUUUGCGGUUUUCAUUGAAAAAAAUUGUUUUCGAAAAGGAUAUUGAAGGAAAAUCAUUAAAAAAACUGGUCUAUUGAUUGGAAUCGAAACCAGCUCCAGAUCGGAAUCGAAAUGUCUUGAUUGAUAUCUAACUUUCAAAAAUAGGAAGAUAUUGUUCCUUACGGAAACCUACAUCUAUAUGAAUAAUGAGAUGGGAAUGUGUUAUUAAGCAUAAAAAUAAUCGAAUCGACUAGGCAUUAUUAUAAUACUCAGCACGUUUUGUGCCGGCUCCACCCGCCAUCUACCCACGUGGGCCUGGAGGGGUGAAGCAGCUCGGCCGAUGUUGCGAAGACCAUGUGCGACGAUAAGCUCGUGAGAAACCACCAGCAAAUAUCUAGUUAUGGAACAAAUGAUUAAUUGGACGCUAUCAAAUGAUUAAACUCGCGUGGGACAGUCGAGACUCGAGAGCCCCGCAGCGCCGGAGACGUGACAGAAGCUUUGUCAAUGACAUCUUCUUCAUUACUAUAAAAUAAAAAUAUAUUUCCGUAAUCAAUACAAACCUCGAAAAACCAAAUAAA
Plodia interpunctella (Indianmeal moth) is the source of this 595-nucleotide long non-coding RNA. RefSeq lists it as uncharacterized. NCBI's taxonomy places the organism in Eukaryota, Metazoa, Arthropoda, Insecta, Lepidoptera, Pyralidae. The record is from RefSeq and is a predicted model, not a curated record. The transcript is spliced from 2 exons.